RNAcentral lists this RNase P RNA (297 nucleotides) under Methanomicrobiaceae archaeon. RNAcentral's name for it is "RNase P RNA component". It matches the Rfam family "Archaeal RNase P". Rfam says of the family: Ribonuclease P (RNase P) is a ubiquitous endoribonuclease, found in archaea, bacteria and eukarya as well as chloroplasts and mitochondria. Its best characterised activity is the generation of mature 5'-ends of tRNAs by cleaving the 5'-leader elements of precursor-tRNAs. The record is from RNAcentral. Lineage: Archaea; Methanobacteriati; Methanobacteriota; Methanomicrobia; Methanomicrobiales; Methanomicrobiaceae.
GAGAGGGAGAGGGCGGCCGACGGUGGCUUUUGCCGCUGAGGAAAGUCCCCCCACCAUCCGGAUACGCAGCUGCACGCAAGUGCAGGUGGCGAGAGUCACGGCAAUGACACAGAAACGACACGGCCUGCCGACAGUGAUGAUGCGAACGAUCGCUGAACGCAGCGGUAGGAUUCGAUGAAACGGUGAAUCCCUGCGGGUGCAAGCCAGAAAAGGACUGAUGGAUCGUCCGGAAUCCGUCCAGGUUUGGCGCUUAGCUGAAUGCUGCCCAGAACAGAAGGGGGCUUACUCCUCCCACUC